CAAGUCGAACGGGGUUAUUUUUCGGAAAUAACUUAGUGGCGGACGGGUGAGUAACACGUGAGCAACCUGCCUUUGUGAGGGGGAUAACGUCUGGAAACGGACGCUAAUACCGCAUGAUGUGUUCGGAUGGCAUCAUCUGAACAUCAAAGAUUUAUCGCUGAAAGAUGGGCUCGCGUCUGAUUAGAUAGUUGGUGGGGUAACGGCCCACCUAGUCUUCGAUGGAUAGGGGUUCUGAGAGGAAGGUCCCCACAUUGGUACUGAGACACGGCCCAGACUCC
This 278-nucleotide ribosomal RNA is filed under the name uncultured bacterium. Its description in RNAcentral is "partial 16S ribosomal RNA". It matches the Rfam family "Bacterial small subunit ribosomal RNA", at positions 58 to 339 of the family's 1533-position model. The record is from RNAcentral.